GGGUCGGUAGCUCAGCCGGUAGAGCACUCGGCUUUUAACCGAAUGGUCCUGGGUUCGAGUCCCAGCCGACCCA
Molecule: transfer RNA, 73 nt
Filed under: Gemmatimonadota bacterium
Lineage: Bacteria; Pseudomonadati; Gemmatimonadota
Description: tRNA-Lys
Rfam family: tRNA
About the family: Transfer RNA (tRNA) molecules are approximately 80 nucleotides in length.
Source: RNAcentral